GACGAACGCUGGCGGCGUGCCUAACACAUGCAAGUCGAACGAAGUUCUUAUGGAAUGCGGCUUCGGCCAAAUGAAGUUUGAACUUAGUGGCGGACGGGUGAGUAACGCGUGAGCAACCUGCCUUUCAGAGGGGGAUAGCGUUUGGAAACGAACGCUAAUACCGCAUAACGUUGUUUGCUGCAUGACAGAACAACCAAAGGAGCAAUCCGCUGAAAGAUGGGCUCGCGUCCGAUUAGAUAGUUGGUGGGGUAACGGCCUACCGAGUCGACGAUCGGUAGCCGGACUGAGAGGUUGAUCGGCCACAUUGGGACUGAGACACGGCCCAG
Molecule: ribosomal RNA, 326 nt
Filed under: uncultured bacterium
Lineage: Bacteria
Description: bacterial SSU rRNA
Rfam family: Bacterial small subunit ribosomal RNA
Source: RNAcentral